This is an RNA transcript of Stegostoma tigrinum, 2911 nucleotides long. It is a transcript of the gene named atonal bHLH transcription factor 8, with no coding region annotated. The record is from RefSeq and is a predicted model, not a curated record. NCBI's taxonomy places the organism in Eukaryota, Metazoa, Chordata, Chondrichthyes, Orectolobiformes, Stegostomatidae. The transcript is spliced from 4 exons.
GUGACACGCCGAGGUGGAUUCCUUUUCUUUGGGCGCUUGUGUUUUUGCAGCGUUCCCUUUAAGAGGCAUCGCGAUGACUGAUGUAACUUAACACGGGCUUCUGUGUAAGCUGAGGCUAAACAAACACAGAUGGAUUGCCGAAUGCGUUCGUGAAAAAAAAUGUUGGCAGGGCAGAGGAAGGGGACUUGAGAUGACAUUCUCGCAUCACUAGAGGCAUUGCUACAGAGCUGUUGCUAUAGCUGCCGAGAGGGAGGGUUAACACACACACACACACGGGAGUAAGGGGCUGAAACCCUCCCGGAAGAUCAUUCAAUUAUAAGAAAAUCUCAGAUGUCUUGGUGAUAAUGAGGACCUCGGAGAGCCUGAAUGAAGCAGAGUGGAAGAGAUUGUGCACGAUAAAGCGGCUGAAACGGAAGAACCGGGAUGUUAGCAGGCAAGGGGUGAUCCUGGAGAAAGUUUACGGAGGUGAGGAGGGAAGGCUCGGGGAUGCUUUGAUCGCCCGCCUGAGCGACAGCACCGACACUUUGCAAACAGCGGCCGUCAGCUCCGCGGGUACAGGCUGCGGUGCUGAGUUACUGGGGCUGAGCCGGAUGGUGAGCCCAGCCUGUAUGCCCUCUACUACCGCCGCUGUCGGCGUCGGAAGGCGGCACGACGGGGAGCUCAGCCCAAAGUCCGCCGCUCCGGCACGGAGGAAAUUCCCUCGCCCUCCCACGUCCCAAGCGGGCGCUGCCGAGCCCCGGGCGUUCACCGGGCAGCCGAGCCUGCAACCUCGCGUCCUGCUGUGCCAGCGCCCCGCCGACGGCUGCUACUCGAGCCUCCCGCCCGCAGCCUACAGCCCGUCGCCUCGGAAGCGGCUGGGAGAGCCGUCCGGCGCCUCCACCGAGAUCAAAGCCAUCCAACAGACCCGCAGGCUGCUGGCCAACGCCAGGGAGAGGACCAGGGUCCACACUAUCAGCGCUGCCUUCGAAGCUCUGAGGAAACAGGUUCCUUGCUAUUCAUAUGGACAGAAGUUGUCGAAGUUGGCGAUCCUGAGGAUAGCGUGUAAUUACAUCCUGUCCUUGGCCAGGCUGAACGACCUCGAUUACAGCUCCGAUCACAGCAACAUGAGCUUUUCCGAGUGUGUGGAGCAAUGCACCAAGACGUUGCAGGCAGAGGGCAGAUCAAAAAAGAGGAAGAUGACAUUGUUGCUAGAGAGUUGAGCGACGAGGACUCUAGGGACCGCAAAUCUUGAGAAGCCCAGCACGGACUCCCAGCCUCGAGGUGAAGCCCAGGACGGACUCCCAGCCUCAAGAUGAAGCCCAGCACAGACUCUCAGUCUCGAGGUGAAGCCCAGCAUGGACUCUCAUCCUCGAGGUGAAGCCCAGCGCAGACUCUCAGCCUCUUGUGAAGCCCAGCACAAACACCCUGCUUUAGAACUUCAGGACCGUAAUGCUGAACUUCUUCUUUUAUUUCUUUAUUUUUAUAAUUUAUACCUAAGACUUUGUACAUUGUACCCAAGAUAGUGCCAGAAAUGGCAACUUUGUAACACUUCUUGUUGUAUUCCUGUAUCCCUGUACUUCAGUACAUGUGACAAUAAAGCCUAAUUCUAUUCUAUUUCUGUUAAAUGGAGGCAACUGUUUCAGAACAGCAGUAUACUUCUGUCAAAGUAUUGCCAAAUAUCUUUAGAACAGAAAAUCUUUGCGCACAGACACAAGUCAUUUGGCCCGUCAUACAUGUAUUGGCUCUUUGAAAGAAGUAUCCAGUUUUCCCUUGUAGCAUUGUUCUAAACAGUAUAAUCCAAUUACUUAUUGACAGUUUCUAAAUGUCUAACAUUUCCACUUUGAAAGAGAUACUGCAAUUGGAAAAAGUAUAUCAUUCAACCAAUUCCAACAACUUGUUUUCUUCGCAUUGAACUCAUGCCACAUUUAUGUAGAUUAACAGAAUUGACCAUGUUGGUGCCUUUGAUGUUCCAGAAUCCCACUUCCCAUUCUUUCCUGAGAACUGAAGCCUUUUGCCAGAAUGACCAGGGGAAGGAGCGACAUAUCACAGGAACAUCACACAGUAAACUGGUGUCUAGCCUACACUGACAGGGGAAGCAGACGCAUAAGACAUUGAAGACCAGAUAUAGGAUUGCAGGAGACGUUCCACGGGAGAGAGGCUAAUGCAAAAGAAAUGAUGUUGCCGAUUUGGGGAAAUCAAAAUGAAGCCACUUUUAUUGUGAAUACACUAUCAACAUUUAAGAACAGUCAAAUCUCUAGAUGUGCAAUCUGCUCAGCGCUUUCUCUUUUCACUUUGAAGAAGGAAGAUGUUGUUUUGAGCCACCACUAACAGCACAGAGAACAAGAUAAAGAGGAAUCAUGCAAUUUGAACAUUGAUAGUUUUGUUUUGAAAGUUAGGAGAGUUAAAAAUCAAGCCUCUGGGACAGAUUUAGCUAUGAACACAUGUUAGCCCACUGGGUACAAUGUAAUGCAUUUUGUUUUUGUGGCUGGCUAACAAGGAUUUACGAUGCUGUAGAGGAGUUUAUAACAAUCAUCUGCAUCCCAGGAUUAAUUGCAUAUUUUUGAUACUGUAAAUCUGAAUACUUUGCUGUAAAAAAAAAGUUGGCUUAAUUUGAUGAAUCAAGCUAAAAACUAGUGCUAGUUAUUUCAAAAACUGCAGUAUUUUCAGACAGUUGGUUGUAAUGCUGAUGACCCUACAUGUGAUCUCGUGUAUUUUCAGCUGUUUUCUGAUUGUGUACUAGCAAGAAUUCUCCUGCUGAUUGCAAUUUAUAGCGGGGGGAUCCUUAGAAACACGUGGUCAGACAAUCAGAAAGCGCACUGAUAUGACAUGCACUUUAUGAUCUAUGUAAUCACACUAUUCCUUGUAUUAUUGCUGGGUCAUAUUAAUCACUAGUAUUAAUGUACAAAUGUUUGUAAAGGUAUUUGAGACUUUG